This 424-nucleotide ribosomal RNA is filed under the name uncultured Glomeraceae. RNAcentral's name for it is "SSU rRNA". It matches the Rfam family "Eukaryotic small subunit ribosomal RNA", at positions 459 to 886 of the family's 1831-position model. The record is from RNAcentral. Lineage: Eukaryota; Fungi; Glomeromycota; Glomeromycetes; Glomerales; Glomeraceae.
GGGAGGUAGUGACAAUAAAUAACAAUACGGGGUUCUUUCGGAUCUCGUAAUUGGAAUGAGUACAAUUUAAAUCUCUUAACGAGGAACAAUUGGAGGGCAAGUCUGGUGCCAGCAGCCGCGGUAAUUCCAGCUCCAAUAGCGUAUAUUAAAGUUGUUGCAGUUAAAAAGCUCGUAGUUGAAUUUCGGGGUUAGUAGGUUGGUUAUGCCUCUGGUAUGUACUGGUCUCACUGAUUCCUCCUUCCUGAUGAACCGUAAUGCCAUUAAUUUGGUGUUGCGGGGAAUUUGGACUGUUACUUUGAAAAAAAUUAGAGUGUUUAAAGCAAGCUAACGCUUGAAUACAUUAGCAUGGAAUAAUGAAAUAGGACGUUCGAUCCUAUUUUGUUGGUUUCUAGGAUUGACGUAAUGAUUAAUAGGGAUAGUUGGG